Molecule: long non-coding RNA, 822 nt
Organism: Eptesicus fuscus (big brown bat)
Lineage: Eukaryota; Metazoa; Chordata; Mammalia; Chiroptera; Vespertilionidae
Exons: 2
Source: RefSeq, a predicted model, not a curated record
UGCUGAGGGUCACACACGGCGCUACCCUCGGCCAUCGCGGCGCCCGCUAGUCAGCCGGCCAGUCCUGUUCCCCACGCCGCCUCGCCGGACCCCUUGGGCUGUCCGCGUCCGGCGCGCUCCCGUCUACACAGCCCGCGCGCGCGCGCGCCCGUCCGGCCCGGCUAUCCUUGAUCCGUGAACAAGCGAGAGCCCUCGGACCGCGCCUGCGCCAUCCUCGGUGCGAGGGGCCGGUACCUUUAAGGAGCCGCUGCAUUACGUCAUUUUUCCGCGACGCCCCCACGCUCUUGCUCCCUCCCUCUCGCCCGCCAUCGCUGGAGGCAGCCAAUCAGAAGCGUCGUUCCCCUGUCUGGUCGCCGCCCCCGCGCCGUCAGAGGCUGUCCACCACCGGGAGGGAUCUCUGCGGCGCUGCAGGGCUGUGCGGCCGCCUGGGGCUCUGGGGUUGAGCCGGCGGCCUCUGGACCCCCGAGUCUUGGCUCUUCCACUCUAGCUGUGUGACCAUGGGCACGGUGCCCAUCCUCACCUCUCCAUCUGCAACCUGAAGAUGAUGACUUCUUAGUGUUGUGGACUAGCAUAGAGCGAGGAAGGGAGGAGCGAGAGAGAGAGCAAGAGAAAGCGAAAGAAGACAUCGAUAUGCAAGAGAGAGACAUCAGUAGGUUUGCCUCCUAUAUGUGCCCUGACCUGGAAUCAAAUCUACGACCUCACGACCUUCUGGUGCAUGAGACAACACUCCAGCCAACUGAGCCACACUGGCUAGGGCAGGUAGAUGGAGGAAUCUAAAAAACUGUGAAUACCAGGCACUUAAUAAAUGUUUUCUGAAUCGCA